RNAcentral lists this transfer RNA (76 nucleotides) under Dehalococcoidia bacterium. RNAcentral describes it as "tRNA-Arg". It matches the Rfam family "tRNA". From Rfam's summary of the family: Transfer RNA (tRNA) molecules are approximately 80 nucleotides in length. Their secondary structure includes four short double-helical elements and three loops (D, anti-codon, and T loops). The record is from RNAcentral. Lineage: Bacteria; Bacillati; Chloroflexota; Dehalococcoidia.
GCCUCCGUAGCUCAGGGGACAGAGCAGCGGUUUUCUAAGCCGCGGGUCCGGGGUUCGAAUCCUCGCGGGGGCACCA